Molecule: ribosomal RNA, 465 nt
Filed under: Vreelandella stevensii
Lineage: Bacteria; Pseudomonadati; Pseudomonadota; Gammaproteobacteria; Oceanospirillales; Halomonadaceae
Description: partial 16S ribosomal RNA
Rfam family: Bacterial small subunit ribosomal RNA
Source: RNAcentral
CCUACGGGAGGCUGCAGUGGGGAAUAUUGGACAAUGGGCGAAAGCCUGAUCCAGCCAUGCCGCGUGUGUGAAGAAGGCCUUCGGGUUGUAAAGCACUUUCAGUGGGGAAGAAAGCCUUGGGGCUAAUACCCUCGAGGAAGGACAUCACCCACAGAAGAAGCACCGGCUAACUCCGUGCCAGCAGCCGCGGUAAUACGGAGGGUGCGAGCGUUAAUCGGAAUUACUGGGCGUAAAGCGCGCGUAGGCGGUCUGAUAAGCCGGUUGUGAAAGCCCCGGGCUCAACCUGGGAACGGCAUCCGGAACUGUCAGGCUAGAGUGCAGGAGAGGAAGGUCGAAUUCCCGGUGUAGCGGUGAAAUGCGUAGAGAUCGGGAGGAAUACCAGUGGCGAAGGCGGCCUUCUGGACUGAAACUGACGCUGAGGUGCGAAAGCGUGGGUAGCAAACAGGAUUAGAUACCCCGGUAGUC